CUUCUCCCCUCCGUAACGUGUGAAAAUCUGGCUCCAAGUCCCAUGUCCUGUUUCUGCACUGUCAUCAAUCAGAAGUCAGCCAGUCUACCAUUUCGUUCAAGAUCUGCAUCCCGUUUUGUGUCGGUGAUUCCUCUCUCUCUCGAAUUGUUACUAGUCUCUCUAUUCUUAAUCAUCCGUUUCACUUUCAUCCAUUGAAUCUUUUUCGCUUCUAUCGAUUGCUGUGCUUUUAUUAUUGUAGAUCAACGUUAAUUUUGCUUUAACGCUAAUUUGCUGCCCUUGUCUUAGAAUCUGGAAACGGAGUCAUUUUUCUAGUUCAUAUUCUUUAGCCAUGGCAUCAUCUUCCUCUGUUACCUCUACAACUCUUUAUUUGUUUCUCUAGAUUGUCAAGGAUCUACCAAAUUCUUCCUCAAAACGCCACAAUUAGCUCAAACUGUCAAAAGGGUUCCCAAAUGUCUUCGAUUCGAAUCGAUUCCUCAAAGCAAUUAGCCACGAGUAGCCUUGUCUUGGGUUAUGCUCUCUGUUCAAGCUUGCUUGCUGUGAUUAACAAGUUUGCCAUUACUAAAUUCAACUACCCUGGUCUUUUAACUGCAUUGCAGUACUUGACCUCUGCAUUGGGCGUAUGGGUUUUAGGCAAAUUAGGAUUUUUGCAUCAUGAUGCCUUCACAUAUGAAACUGCCAAGAAGUUUUUACCCGCUGCUAUUGUUUUCUACCUUGCAAUUUUUACAAAUACCAACCUUCUGAGCCAUGCCAAUGUGGAUACUUUUAUAGUGUUCAGAUCCUUGACACCCCUUUUGGUUGCUGUUGCUGAUGCUGUGUUUAGAAAACAGCCCAUCCCAUCGAAGCUCACUUUCUUGUCCUUGUUUAUCAUUUUGGGUGGUGCUGUUGGGUAUGUGGCCACUGAUUCUGGCUUUACUUUAACUGCCUACUCUUGGGCAUUUGCUUAUUUAGUGACCAUCACUUCGGAGAUGGUUUAUAUCAAGCACAUUGUGUCAAAUUUUGGUUUGAACACAUGGGGUCUUGUGUUGUAC
This 1028-nucleotide unclassified non-coding RNA is filed under the name Hevea brasiliensis (rubber tree). The record is from RNAcentral. Lineage: Eukaryota; Viridiplantae; Streptophyta; Magnoliopsida; Malpighiales; Euphorbiaceae.